This 459-nucleotide ribosomal RNA is filed under the name uncultured bacterium. Its description in RNAcentral is "partial 16S ribosomal RNA". It matches the Rfam family "Bacterial small subunit ribosomal RNA", at positions 338 to 795 of the family's 1533-position model. The record is from RNAcentral.
CCUACGGGUGGCUGCAGUGAGGAAUAUUGGUCAAUGGGCGCGAGCCUGAACCAGCCAAGUAGCGUGAAGGAUGACUGCCCUACGGGUUGUAAACCUCUUUUGUCGGGGAGCAAAGAGAGUCACGUGUGGCUCAUUGAGAGUACCCGAAGAAAAAGCAUCGGCUAACUCCGUGCCAGCAGCCGCGGUAAUACGGAGGAUGCGAGCGUUAUCCGGAUUUAUUGGGUUUAAAGGGUGCGCAGGCGGAGGUGCAAGUCAGUGGUCAAAUUGCGGGGCUCAACCCCGUACUGCCGUUGAAACUGCAUCCCUUGAGUGCGCGAGAAGUAUGCGGAAUGCGUGGUGUAGCGGUGAAAUGCUUAGAUAUCACGAAGAACCCCGAUUGCGAAGGCAGCUUACUAAACUGUGACUGACAUUGAUGCUCGAAAGUGUGGGUAUCAAACAGGAUUAGAUACCCGAGUAGUC